AUCACCUUUCUCGAUGGUCGGGCUGAUCCAGCCAUGCCGCGUGCAGGAUGACUGCCCUAUGGGUUGUAAACUGUUUAUACGGGAAGAAACGCACCUACGUGUAGGCGUCUGACGGUACCGUAAGAAUAAGGACCGGCUAACUCCGUGCCAGCAGCCGCGGUAAUACGGAGGGUCCGAGCGUUAUCCGGAAUCAUUGGGUUUAAAGGGUCCGUAGGCGGGCCGUUAAGUCAGGGGUGAAAGUCUGCGGCUCAACCGUAGAAUUGCCUUUGAUACUGGCGGUCUUGAGUCGUUGUGGAGUUGCCGGAACAUGUGGUGUAGCGGUGAAAUGCAUAGAUAUCACAUAGAACACCGAUCGCGAAGGCAGGUGACUAACAACGUACUGACGCUGAUGGACGAAAGCGUGGGUAGCGAACGGGAUUAGAUACCCCGGUAGUCCACGCCGUAAACGAUGGAUACUAGCUGUCGGGCCUUCGGGCUCGGCGGCCAAGCGAAAGUGAUAAGUAUCCCACCUGGGGAGUACGUUCGCAAGAAUGAAACUCAAAGGAAUUGACGGGGGCCCGCACAAGCGGUGGAGCAUGUGGUUUAAUUCGAUGAUACGCGAGGAACCUUACCAGGGCUUAAAUGUAGUGGGACAGGCUUAGAGAUAGGCUUUUCUUCGGACUCAUUACAAGGUGCUGCAUGGUUGUCGUCAGCUCGUGCCGUGAGGUGUCAGGUUAAGUCCUAUAACGAGCGCAACCCCUACCGUUAGUUGCCAGCGAGUCAAGUCGGGGACUCUAACGGGACUGCCGGUGCAAACCGUGAGGAAGGUGGGGACGACGUCAAAUCAUCACGGCCCUUACGUCCUGGGCCACACACGUGCUACAAUGGCCGGUACAGAGGGAAGCCACCCCGCGAGGGGGAGCGGAUCUAUAAAACCGGUCACAGUUCGGAUCGGGGUCUGCAACUCGACCCCGUGAAGCUGGAAUCGCUAGUAAUCGGAUAUCAGCCAUGAUCCCGUGAAUACGUUCCCGGGCCUUGUACACACCGCCGUCAAGCCAUGGAAGCGGGGAGUGCCUGAAGUCCGUCACCGCAAGGAGCGGCCUAGGGCAAAUCGGUAACUAGGGCUA
This 1106-nucleotide ribosomal RNA is filed under the name marine bacterium HA-10. RNAcentral describes it as "bacterial SSU rRNA". It matches the Rfam family "Bacterial small subunit ribosomal RNA", at positions 358 to 1483 of the family's 1533-position model. The record is from RNAcentral.